GGGCGUGUAGCUCAGUUGGUAGAGCGUUCGCUUAGCAUGCGAGAGGUCCUGGGUUCGAUUCCCAGCCCGUCCA
Molecule: transfer RNA, 73 nt
Filed under: Thermochaetoides thermophila DSM 1495
Lineage: Eukaryota; Fungi; Ascomycota; Sordariomycetes; Sordariales; Chaetomiaceae
Description: tRNA-Ala (AGC) (tRNA-Ala-AGC-3-1)
Rfam family: tRNA
About the family: Transfer RNA (tRNA) molecules are approximately 80 nucleotides in length.
Source: RNAcentral